AUCGCUUCUCGGCCUUUUGGCUAAGAUCAGUGUAGUAUCUGUUCUUAUCAGUUUAAUAUCUGAUACGUCCCCUAUCUGGGGACCAUAUAUUAAAUGGAUUUUUGGAACAGGGAGAUGGAAGAAGAGCUUGCUCUGUCCACUCCACGCAUCGACCUGGUAUUGCAGUACGCUCCAGGACCGGUGCACCUCUC
Molecule: small nuclear RNA, 191 nt
Filed under: Xenopus tropicalis (tropical clawed frog)
Lineage: Eukaryota; Metazoa; Chordata; Amphibia; Anura; Pipidae
Description: U2 spliceosomal RNA (ENSXETG00000047240.1)
Rfam family: U2 spliceosomal RNA
About the family: U2 is a small nuclear RNA (snRNA) component of the spliceosome (involved in pre-mRNA splicing).
Source: Rfam by way of RNAcentral